This 253-nucleotide ribosomal RNA is filed under the name uncultured bacterium. RNAcentral describes it as "partial 16S ribosomal RNA". It matches the Rfam family "Bacterial small subunit ribosomal RNA", at positions 524 to 776 of the family's 1533-position model. The record is from RNAcentral.
UACGGGGGGGGCAAGCGUUGUUCGGAGUUACUGGGCGUAAAGGGCUCGUAGGCGGCCAACUAAGUCAGACGUGAAAUCCCUCGGCUUAACCGGGGAACUGCGUCUGAUACUGGAUGGCUGGAGGUUGGGAGAGGGAUGCGGAAUUCCAGGUGUAGCGGUGAAAUGCGUAGAUAUCUGGAGGAACACCGGUGGCGAAGGCGGCAUCCUGGACCAAUUCUGACGCUGAGGAGCGAAAGCCAGGGGAGCAAACGGG